UCUGAUGACUGUAUGUGGCUAAUUUUGCCUUCCUUUGUCUUUGGUCCCUGGCUGUAUUUGUGCAAUGUCUUUGAUAUGCUACUUGGUGCUAUUUGUAAAGAAGCAUUUACAAUAGUAUAUGAUGUCUGAACUCUCCUGCAUAGGUUAAAGAACUCCGAGAAAAGGCUGAGUUUUAUAGGAAGCGAGUUCAGGGGACGCAUUUUUCUCGGGACCAUCUGAAUCAGAUUUUAUCUGAUAGCAACUGCUGUUGGGAUGUCUCCUCAACCACAAGCUCAGAAGGAACCAUUAGUAGCAACAUCAGAGCAUUAGAUCUUGCUGGAACCAGAAGAAAAAGGAAAUAUCGUGGAAGAACAGCCCCAGAAAAAUACCACGGAGAAAUUGGGUGUGUCAGCUCCCACCAUACCUGUUAGAAGGCGGCUGGCUUGGGAUACAGAGAACACAAGUGAAGACGUACAGAAACAGCCCAGGGAGAAAGAGGAGGAGGACGACGAUGAAGAGGAAGGGGACAGGAAAACGGGCAAGCAGGCUGUUAGGGGAGAGCAAGAGAAGUUGGAUGUACAUGAGAAAUCUAAGGCAGAUAAGAUGAAAGAAGGGUCAGAUUCUUCUGUAUCCUCAGAAAAAGGAGGCCGGCUUCCUACUCCCAAGCUGAGAGAACUCGGUGGAAUCCAGAGGACUCAUCAUGAUCUCACUACUCCAGCUGUUGGUGGUGCUGUUUUAGUGUCUCCAUCUAAGAUGAAGCCUCCAGCCCCAGAACAGAGGAAAAGAAUGACCUCUCAGGAUUGUUUAGAAACAUCAAAGAAUGAUUUUACUAAGAAAGAAAGUCAUGCUGUAUCCCUACUGACUUCUCCAGCUGCUGGUAUAAAAACAGUUGAUCCUCUGCCUU
This 883-nucleotide small RNA is filed under the name Pongo abelii (Sumatran orangutan). RNAcentral describes it as "retained intron". Lineage: Eukaryota; Metazoa; Chordata; Mammalia; Primates; Hominidae. The record is from RNAcentral.